GUGAGUGCUGAGAGCUGAGAGCGAAUCGAACUUCGAUUCAACUUUUGUGAGUUUUUGAGAAUUUUUUUCUCUUUUCUUUUGGUGUGAGUGUGUUUAUGAGUUGUUUGUCUAUUAUUUAGUGUUAAGAGGGUUGUGGUUUGUUGAGUGUGUGAGUGUGUGAGUGCUUUGGUUUGGUGGGCGGCGUGCUAACAGCGCAAUGCCGGUAGCAGAGGCUGCAGCCGCCGAGUUUGAAAAGCUGACUCACCGGCAUGCGAUAAAGCUUAAUCCCGCGGUGCAGUGCUCGGUAGAGGAAGCCAGCCUGGCUGUAGGAGAGGUGGUCGGGUACGACUCAGUGAAGUCUGCCUCACGGAUGAACGGGGCCAUUGUGAUUUUUUUAAACAGUACGGUGCUGGUUAACGAGGUGGUGGAGAAAGGAGUAGUAAUUCACGACACCUUCACUCCGGUCUCCCCCCUCAUUAGCCCGGCCACGAAAGUUACCAUUUCUAAUGCUCCCCCGUUUAUUAAAAAUGAAACUCUAGCGAAAGAACUGUCCAGGUACGGACAAGUGGUGUCACCGAUUAAAAUGGUCUCUCUGGGCUGUAAAUCCCCCAAACUGAAGCACGUAGUGUGUCACAGGAGACAGGUAUACAUGAUCCCGAAAGACAACAGUAAUGAUCUAAACCUGUCGUUUUCUUUUAAAAUAGAAGGAUUCGUAUAUAUUGUGUUCGCUUCGUUCGCUGAGGCCGCUGGGGAAGAGUUGAGUGUUGCUGCUGUGACCGGGGUCACAGCAGUAGAAUCGGUCAGUCCUGCUCAGGAGGGGCCCUCCACAGUCUCGGUGCCUCCGGUUGCAGAGGGCUGCUCGGAGCGAGAAGAGCUCAUGCUCUCAGACUCGGCAGACGAGAGCACGAGCAAAGUGAUUAGUGAUGAUUUCAUGGAGGAAGGCAUGUCUGAUGACGAACUGCUUAAAGUGUCUCAAAAAAGGAAAAAUAUUGUGACUGUUAAAAAGAACAAAAAAAAGAGAAAACCGAUUAUGAGGAAGACCCCAGAGUCAGAGAGUGACUUCUCUUUUACCCAGGACUCUCAGUCGCCAUACUCCCCGGCUCAGAUAAAAACCUUCCUGGCACAGAUUAAAGGCUCCAGGCUGCCCAAUAUAAGAGAAUAUUUCCCAGACCUACGCUCUUUUAUGAGGUCAGCCAUACCCCUCACCAGGAAGAGCCAUGGGGAGGAGGUUUUAACAGAACAAGAGGUCUUCAGACUCAAAAAGGUUUUAGGGAGGGUAAAAGAGCAAUUCAUCAGUGAUGAGGAUGAGUUUUAGAUGCUUUUACCCUUCACUGACUGUUCUCCUGAGUGUUUUUUAUUUUUUAUCCAUGUGUGAUUUUAAUAUCAGCACCUUAAACCUGAACGGGGCCAGGGCUGAUUUUAAACGCGCCGCUCUUUUUAAAUUAAUGGAGACUAAAAAAAUAGAUAUCAUUUCUGUCCAAGAAACCCACAGCACCUUAGAUAACGAGAGUGAUUGGAAGAGGGCUUUUAACGGGGAGGUAGUUUUAAGCCACAAGUCCAGCCGAGCGGAGGGGUGGGGAUUUUAUUUGCACAGUUUUUUACCCUUUUCUUUUACCAUCCAUGAGAUCAUCCCAGGUGUUUUAUUGAAGGUAAAAGCUGUCUUUGAGAAUGUAAAAUGUGUGUUUUUAAAUGUCUACGCUCCUACCAAUGCUGUGGAGCGAAUAGCAUUUUUAAACAUUUUAAAGGACUGUGUUAGGGACUGUGAGAACGAUGGUUUUAUGUUUUUAGGGGGAGAUUUUAACUGCACAGUUGAUCCAUCCCUGGACAGGAACCAUCCUGAACCACACCCACCCUCAUCACACACACUCCGGCGGCUGACAGAGAGUCAGGAGCUGAGUGAUGUGUGGAGGGUUUUUAACAGUCAGCACAGACAGUUCACCUGGAGUCACAGUAGGGAGGGGGUUUUAACUCUAGCCAGACUGGACCGUUUUUACUGUUUUAAACACCAUUUAAACAUUUUUAAAAGGUGUUUUAUGCUGCCAGUUGGUUUUACGGAUCAUUUUUUAGUCUCCUGUCGUGUUUUUAUCAAAAACAUUCGUUUAAAGAGCGCCUAUUGGCAUUUUAACACAGCCCUUUUAUCUGACCAGGCUUUUAGAACUGCUUUUAGGGUUUUUUGGGAAUCCCACAGAGAGAGCAGGCCUGCCUUCACUAACAUACAACAGUGGUGGGAUUUUGGGAAAGCCCAGAUAAAACAGCUCAGCCAGCAGUUCACUCGCGGUGUCACUACAGACUUAGCUUGGUCCAUGAAAGACCUGGAGUCGCAGGUGGUAGAGCUGCAGACUACUGCAGACUCUACAGGAAAUCGAGGGCUUUUAGACUCCCUCAAGUCCAAAAAGUCGGCAUUAGCCAACCUGUUAGGCGUCUCAGCACAGGGGGCUCUGGUCAGGUCUCGUUUCAUGAACAUCACACAGAUGGACGCCCCAUCUCGCUUCUUCUUUGGGUUGGAGCGGAAAAAUGGACAAAGGAAGACCAUUCACUGUUUACGGACGGGUAGCAGCUCCGAAGUCUCAGACUCGUCUGAGAUCAGGAAGUUUGCUGCCAACUACUACAGAAACCUCUUUAAGAGUGAGUGGUCGCAUAAUCCAGAAGUGCACAGCAACUUCCUGGCGGGUCUCCCUCAGGUCAGCGAGGCUGACAACAGCAGACUGGCAGCAGAGGUGACGCUGCAGGAGCUCCACGCAGCCACCAUGAGCCUGCAGAGCGGCAGAGCUCCAGGCAUAGACGGCCUUCCUGCUGACUUUUACAAGUCUUUGUGGUCCAUCAUAGGACCAGACCUGCUAGAGGUCAUGACAGAAAGUCUGAGGACCGGCAGGCUACCUCUGAGCUGCAGGAGGACCGUCAUCACCCUGCUGCCCAAGAAGGGAGACCUGCAGGAGCUGAAAAACUGGAGACCAGUCUCCCUGCUGUGCACGGAUUAUAAAAUCCUGUCCAAGGCUUUGACCCUCAGACUGAGGGAGGUGAUGGCGUCCAUCAUCCACCCUGACCAGACCCACUGUGUGCCUGGCAGGCUCAUCAGUGACAACGUCACUUUAAUUCGAGACAUUUUGGAGCUCUCCAGGUCAUUGGGUAUAGAGACUGGUCUUAUUUCCAUAGAUCAGGAAAAGGCUUUUGACCGGGUUGAACAUCAGUACCUGUGGCAGACUCUGGCUGCCUUUGGGUUCAACCCUGGGUUCAUAGCCAUGGUCUGGGUUCUCUACAGUGACAUUGCGAGUGUUCUGAAAAUUAACGGCGGGCUGAGUGCACCAUUCGAGAUCCAGAGAGGGGUGAGGCAGGGCUGCUCUCUCUCUGGGAUGUUAUAUUCAGUUGCCAUCGAGCCUCUGCUUCACAAUCUGAGAGAGAAACUAAGUGGUGUGAGUUUCCCCCGGUGCCCUGUGUCUUUUAAAUUGUCCGUAUAUGCUGACGAUCUUAUUGUUUUAGUAAAAACACAAAGAGACAUUGACAUUUUAACUGACACUGUCCAUGACUUUGGUUUUAUCUCCUCAGCUAAGGUGAACUGGGGAAAAAGCGAGGCUCUGAUGGCUGGAGGGGAGCUGGGGGGCCGGCUCAGGCUGCCCGGGGGCCUACAGUGGAAAAAAGGAGGACUCCGGUACCUUGGGGUCUUCCUAGGAGAUGAGACCUACAUACAGAAAAACUGGGACAAUGUCCUAGAGCAGGUUAAAGGUCGGCUGGAGAAGUGGAAGUGGCUACUCCCAAAAAUGUCGUACAGAGGCCGAACCUUAAUCGCAAAUAAUCUGGUCUCAUCUUCCCUGUGGCACCGGCUGGCUUGUGUCGAUCCUCCAGCUUCUCUCCUUCCCAAGAUUCAGUCGUUUUUAGUUGAUUUUAUUUGGGACAGACUCCACUGGGUCCCACAGAGUGUCCUGUUUUUACCAAAAGAGGAAGGGGGCCAGGGCCUGGUCCACCUGGCCAGCAGGGGCGCAGCCUUCAGGCUCCAAUUCAUUCAAAGGCUGCUGAUGGGGCCGAAGGACACUCUGUGGAGGCCCCUGUCCCGCUGCAUUCUGCAGGGUUUUAACAGCCUGGGUCAGGAUUUUAAUUUGUUUUUAAUGAACACACAGAACAUGAGCACAUCUUCUCUGCCUGCUUUUUAUCAAAGUGUUUUUAAGGUCUGGGGACUGCUGAGGAAGGAGAGGAGGGGCCAGGUGGACUUGAUAUACUGGCUCCUGCAGGAACCGGUCCUGUGGGGGACCCGUCUGGACCUUCCCAGCUGGGCAGGACGGAGUCUACAGGAAAAACUGCAGACAGCGGGGAUCGUCACUCUGGGGCAGGUGGUGGAUCUGACGGGACCCCGAAUGGACGACCCCGCUGGACUCGCUGCCCGGCUGGGACUUUUAUCGAUGAGGGUCACCCAAAAACUCAUAGAGCACUGGAGACAGAGACUCACAGGACACGACCGCCUGCUUUUAAACUCCCCUUUUACCCAGACUGUGAACAAAGAAAACCCCUUUCCUGCCAUCUUCCUGGCACCGGAUUUUAAAGACUGUUCUGGCCCGCUGUUGGAUUUUAACCACCCCGCCCCUUUGGAGGGCACAACUGGGAAAACCUUUUAUAACAUCUUGGUGAAAACAAUAAACAGGAAAAAACUGAACCAAAGACCUGACACCCCAUGGAGGACCUAUCUGAGCCUGGCUCCUGAGGCCAGGCCUGAGUGGAGGGCCUUCUAUAAACCUCCACUCUCGAAGAAACAUGCGGAUGUACA
Non-coding RNA from Xyrichtys novacula (pearly razorfish), 4732 nucleotides. The record is from the annotation of a GenBank genome assembly. Lineage: Eukaryota; Metazoa; Chordata; Actinopteri; Labriformes; Labridae.